UAGAAGACCAAAGCUAUGUCAGAUGG
RNAcentral lists this non-coding RNA (26 nucleotides) under Mus musculus (house mouse). Lineage: Eukaryota; Metazoa; Chordata; Mammalia; Rodentia; Muridae. The record is from RNAcentral.